CACUUGAUAAAAACCUUCCUAAUUAGGUGAUAGCUUUCUCCACUUCAUAGGCUGUGAGACUUUGACGCACCGCAGCAUCAAAUCGUCGACUCAGAGUUCCUUAGAGUUGACUGAGAAAUUAUAGUAUUUGGCCACCCUUUAUCGGUAGGAGGCCAUUCGCGCAGUAGGUCGUUCUCUACUCUCCUCAGCCAGGUCAAGGUUGGUUUGCAACCAUUUUGAAUUGGUGUCCUCGUUGUACUCCUUAACUCUGAGAGAAAGAAGUUCGAUCUCAACUAGUAUAACUACUUCGAUUCUGAAUGUAAGGUUGAAUGGAGUUUCUC
This 320-nucleotide long non-coding RNA is filed under the name Elaeis guineensis (African oil palm). RNAcentral's name for it is "long non-coding RNA (EGUI_LNC035197)". Lineage: Eukaryota; Viridiplantae; Streptophyta; Magnoliopsida; Arecales; Arecaceae. The record is from RNAcentral.